UGUAGAUGAUGAGUCUUAUAUUUUCUGUUUACAAAACCUUGAAUUUUUCGAAAAACUAAGGAUUUCUUACCCCAGGAGUAGAUUACCUUAGCCGUAUUUGGCACAACUUUUUGGAAUUUUGGAUCCUCAAUGCUCUUCAACUUUGUAUUGAUUUGGCUUUUUAACUAUUUGAUCUGAGCGUCACUGAUGAGUCUUAUGUAGACAAAACGCGCGUCUGGCGUAUAAAAUUAUAAUCCUGGUACUUUUGAUAACUAUUUCCUCUCCGGGAAAACAACAAACAUAUAUAUUGAUUUAUUGAUUAGUGUUUAACGGCACUUUUAGCACUGACGUGAUAUUUCGUGGCAGUCAGUCAUUAUUGGUGGAUGUAGCCGGUAUGCACCCAGACAACCACAGACCUUCAGCAGAAACCGC
This 411-nucleotide long non-coding RNA is filed under the name Mytilus galloprovincialis (Mediterranean mussel). Lineage: Eukaryota; Metazoa; Mollusca; Bivalvia; Mytilida; Mytilidae. The record is from RNAcentral.